Paramisgurnus dabryanus is the source of this 2405-nucleotide long non-coding RNA. RefSeq lists it as uncharacterized. NCBI's taxonomy places the organism in Eukaryota, Metazoa, Chordata, Actinopteri, Cypriniformes, Cobitidae. The record is from RefSeq and is a predicted model, not a curated record.
UGGUACUUACUUAAAAAAAGUAAAUUGACCUUAAUCAGUUUUUAUCAACCUGCUGUUAACACUUGCUUUUAGUGAGUUACUUGUACUUUGAGGUUGAAAAAUCUUACCAGCUCAGUCUACUUGAGCUGGAUUCAUAUAGAAAAAGUAAGUUUAUGACAUGUGGACAUGCGCAGAUCAGUCCUCUCUGAAAUGCCUAAACCCAACCAAUCAAGGUGCUUCGGGGGGCGGGUCUUGGCGUUGCGGGAAUCAUAAUUUUUGCAGACAGUCGUUACAAGUCACCUCACCACAUGCCGCAACUGACCAGGUGGAGCUGGACCUAUACAUCGCUUCUACGGCACUUUUGAUUAUCUUCAGCCGAGAUUCUUGUGCUUGGCACACUUAUUUGGUGAGUAAAUAUUUUACCUGUGUGCACACCGUUUUGUAUCUGUAAGUCUGCGCCAGUAUUUUGCGCUUGAUUUGCGUGUAGUAAUGUCUGCUUACGCUGGCUAACCAUAUAAAAGACAUAACGUGGCUAUAUUUUGCUGAAACUUGGUCAAUACUUUAUUAUUUUUUCAAUCCACAACUUCCUCGGUGUUGAAAAUUGGAAACUUUAAAGACUUUUGACACGUUAAAAUUCAGGAAUAACUUCAGUCUUAUGCAGCGCCGCAAGUCGUCAAAGUAUCGCGAGAGCGAGACGAAAUAAGAUUACUUGAAUCAUUCUCGCGGUACUUUGACGUCAUCCGGCUGUCGGUUCUUGCGGCGCCGCAUGAAGUCGAACAAGCCUAGUAAGGUAACUUUUGUCGAGUAACGUACUGACUAGCAUGAUGACAGACUGAUCCCGGUGGUUUGUGAGUUUCCUGAGCUUUAUAACUGAUUUUUAUAAGUUUAGGCAGAACAAGUAUGUAUGUAUCAUUUUAUUUUAAGCUAGGCUGUAAAGUUAGCACUAAUGCUAAUUUAGCUACCAAUAAUAACAGUCUGUGCUUAUCAAAGACAAGAUUACCACGUGUGUCGACAUAUGAUUGGGGAUAUCCCCACAAUGUCAUUUUAUUUAACACUCGCACUUAACACUGGUCGAUAUUCGUACUUGUGCCGUUUCCAUGGUUACCACGUGUAGUACCCAGAUCAGACACGUUACAGACAAGAGUGUCUCCCUGUCUGAAUUUUUUUUACACAGUUUAUCAUAGCCUGUUAUGAUAGGGAACGUAUUUGCUGGCAUACUCCGUUGCUUACAUUAUUAUUCAAGGUCAUCUUGUACAUAAUAUGCACAUUUUAAUAAGGGGAACUGUCUGUGGGUUAUAGGGCUAUGUUAGUUUUCACAUGUAACGUUACUUGUUUGUGAGUUGUGGUGAACUUUGGUUGUAUUAAAUUGUUUUAUUUUUUUUUAAACUGUCCUCUUUCAGGCUCAAGCAGAAUGGUAAUCAAUCCUCCUCACAUUCCAUAAUCCCAGCAAUAAAAGAUACUGUGGACAGUCCAUCAUACCCAGGACUACAGUAUCCUAGAUGCCAACCACAAAAGUGUUUGCUGAGUUUAAUAGAAUCGCCAGUAAGAAUCUUGAGGGAGACUUGAGGCUUUGGACCAGUAUGCCCCACGUUUCAUCGAACUUUUCAAAACAAAAAGGGAACUGUUGGCCAGAAACUCAAGGAGCUGAUGCAGCACAUGAGCUGGCUGACACCAGGCUCUAGAAUGCAUCACUGUUGGUGUCCUGACGGUUGUCAGUGAAGAUAGUCCUCACGAGGGUCAAAGCUUAGUGGUCCUCCAGCCCAUCUCCACUGCCAUCAUUCUGGAGGGAGGUAUUGUUAUGGAUAAUGUUAAGGACUUGCCUCAAGUCUUUUGUUUGGGCUUACCCAAAAUGCAUGGCAAAUACACUCAACUUUAUUUAGACUGUGAUGCUUGGACUGGGAAAGAAAAACCUCCCAUCAAAACGGUUGACUCUGAAGAACAGUCUUCUGGGUUAAAGAGGUGUCCGAUAGAACUUUGUAAGCUUUGCAGCCAUUAAUGUUUUCCUGUUAUUAGAUACAGUUUGAUGCUUUCAUGCAAACUGUAUUUGCUUCUGAUCUUAAUAAAAAGAAAUUCCAUUAAAGUCUGUAAUGUUAUCCAGGUAUGCUAAAGUUGGAAAUGGAGCCACCGUGUUUUAUUAAGAGUUGUUAGUUGUUAUUAGAUGAUAAUGUCAGAAAAUAACCUACCACGGUGGUCCUGUUUACAUUUGUGUUUUAGGAAAGCUUUUUAUAGUUUUUAAUGUAGUACAAAUACAAACCCCAAGGAGUGAUGUUUUUGUUUGUUGCUUUAAUCCUUUCACUGCUCACUUUGGGACACAAAAGCAUUUGUUGUACUUUCAGUUAAAAAUGCAAUUUUUAACUGAAUGCAAUUUUUUUAAUGUAAAGAAAGUUACAUUUUAACUGUAUACAGUUAAAUCAACCACAACUUUG